CGUGUAGGUGGUCUUUUAAGUCAGACGUGAAAUCUAUGGGCUUAACCCAUAAACUGCGUUUGAAACUGGAGGACUUGAGGACUGGAGAGGGCAGUGGAAUUCCCAGUGUAGCGGUGAAAUGCGUAGAUAUUGGGAGGAACACCAGUGGCGAAGGCGACUGCCUGGACGGCACCUGACACUGAGGCGCGAAAGCUAGGGGAGCAAACGGGAUUAGAUACCCCGGUAGUCCUAGCCGUAAACGAUGGGUACUAGGUGUGGGAGGUAUCGACCCCUUCCGUGCCGCAGUUAACACAAUAAGUACCCCGCCUGGGGAGUACGGCCGCAAGGUUGAA
RNAcentral lists this ribosomal RNA (332 nucleotides) under uncultured bacterium. Its description in RNAcentral is "bacterial SSU rRNA". It matches the Rfam family "Bacterial small subunit ribosomal RNA", at positions 568 to 898 of the family's 1533-position model. The record is from RNAcentral.